CGGUUACUCAGAGAACGACGAUGAACAUGAUUUCGAUUAUUGUCCAUCUUCAUAAGAUGGACAAUAAUCGAAAUCAUGUUCAUCGUCGUUCUCUGAG
This 97-nucleotide microRNA precursor is filed under the name Zootermopsis nevadensis. RNAcentral describes it as "microRNA mir-598". Lineage: Eukaryota; Metazoa; Arthropoda; Insecta; Blattodea; Termopsidae. The record is from RNAcentral.